This 429-nucleotide ribosomal RNA is filed under the name bacterium. RNAcentral's name for it is "partial 16S ribosomal RNA". It matches the Rfam family "Bacterial small subunit ribosomal RNA", at positions 355 to 776 of the family's 1533-position model. The record is from RNAcentral.
UAGGGAAUCUUCGGCAAUGGGGGCAACCCUGACCGAGCAACGCCGCGUGAGUGAAGAAGGUUUUCGGUUCGUAAAGCUCUGUUGUAAGAGAAGAACGUGUGUGAGAGUGGAAAGUUCACACAGUGACGGUAACUUACCAGAAAGGGACGGCUAACUACGUGCCAGCAGCCGCGGUAAUACGUAGGUCCCGAGCGUUGUCCGGAUUUAUUGGGCGUAAAGCGAGCGCAGGCGGUUUAAUAAGUCUGAAGUUAAAGGCAGUGGCUUAACCAUUGUUCGCUUUGGAAACUGUUAAACUUGAGUGCAGAAGGGGAGAGUGGAAUUCCAGGUGUAGCGGUGAAAUGCGUAGAUAUAUGGAGGAACACCGGUGGCGAAAGCGGCUCUCUGGUCUGUAACUGACGCUGAGGCUCGAAAGCGUGGGGAGCAAACAGG